UCUUGCAAACUAAAGAUGGCGACCGGCGCACGGGUGAGUAACACGUAUCCAACCUGCCGAUAACUCGGGGAUAGCCUUUCGAAAGAAAGAUUAAUAUCCGAUAGUAUAUUAAAACCGCAUGGUUUUACUAUUAAAGAAUUUCGGUUAUCGAUGGGGAUGCGUUCCAUUAGUUUGUUGGCGGGGUAACGGCCCACCAAGACUACGAUAGAUAGGGGUUCUGAGAGGAAGGUCCCCCACAUUGGAACUGAGACACGGUCCAA
RNAcentral lists this ribosomal RNA (260 nucleotides) under uncultured bacterium. RNAcentral describes it as "partial 16S ribosomal RNA". It matches the Rfam family "Bacterial small subunit ribosomal RNA", at positions 73 to 334 of the family's 1533-position model. The record is from RNAcentral.